AUGGCCUCCUACGACAAGGCCAUGGAGUCGUACAAGAAGGCCGUCACCACGGCGGCCUCCCUCGCGGCGUCCGCGAUGCUGGUGCGCGGCGUCGUCAACGAGCUGGUGCCGUACGAGGUGCGUGACCUGCUCUUCUCCGGCAUGGGCUACCUUCGCUCGCACAUGUCCUCCCAGCACACCAUCAUCAUAGCGGAGACCGAGGGGUGGGCCAACAACCAGCUCUACGACGCCGCGCGGGCGUACCUGGCGACGCGGAUCAACACCGACAUGCAGCGCCUCCGGGUCAGCCGCGUCGACGAGACCAAGAGCAUGAUGUUCAGCAUGGAGGAGGGCGAAGAGAUGGCCGAUGUCCAUGAGGGCACCGAAUUCAAGUGGCGCCUUGUCUGCCGGGACAACUCCAGCGCCAGCAGCAGCAACGGCAAUGGCCGUGGCGGCAGCGGCAAUUUCAAGCUUGAGGUCCGGUCCUUCGAGAUGAGCUUCCACAGGAAGCACAAGGACAAAGCACUUACCUCCUACCUCCCUCACAUCCUCGCCGUGGCCAAGAAAAUCAAAGAGCAGAACAGGACGCUCAAGAUCUACAUGAACGAAGGUGAGUCGUGGUUUGCCAUUGAUCUCCACCACCCAUCAACCUUCAGCACGCUUGCCAUGGAUCACAAGCUCAAGCAGUCAGUCAUGGAUGAUCUCGAGAGGUUUGUCAAGAGAAAGGAAUACUACAAGAAGAUCGGCAAGGCAUGGAAACGAGGGUACCUGCUGUAUGGCCCACCUGGGACUGGCAAGUCAAGCAUGAUUGCAGCAAUGGCCAAUUACCUCAAAUUUGAUGUAUAUGAUCUUGAGCUCACUGAGGUCAACUGGAACUCAACACUUCGGAGGUUGCUCAUCGGGAUGACCAACCGGUCAAUUCUUGUCAUUGAGGACAUCGACUGCACUGUCGAGCUGCAACAGCGGGAGGAAGGCCAGGAGGGCACCAAAUCCAACCCUUCAGAGGACAAGGUGACACUAUCCGGGCUACUCAACUUCGUUGAUGGGCUUUGGUCCACAAGUGGGGAGGAGAGGAUAAUUAUCUUCACAACAAACUACAAAGAGAGGCUCGAUCCUGCGCUUCUGCGCCCUGGCAGGAUGGACAUGCACAUUCACAUGGGGUACUGCUGCCCAGAGUCGUUUCGAAUCUUGGCCUCCAACUACCACUCUAAGAUCACCAUGUCACAUACCCGGAGAUCGAAGAAAUGA
This 1227-nucleotide ribosomal RNA is filed under the name Triticum aestivum (bread wheat). Its description in RNAcentral is "partial small subunit ribosomal RNA". Lineage: Eukaryota; Viridiplantae; Streptophyta; Magnoliopsida; Poales; Poaceae. The record is from RNAcentral.